UACGUAGGGUGCAAGCGUUGUCCGGAAUUAUUGGGCGUAAAGAGCUCGUAGGCGGUUUGUCGCGUCUGCUGUGAAAACCCGAGGCUCAACCUCGGGCCUGCAGUGGGUACGGGCAGACUAGAGUGCGGUAGGGGAGAUUGGAAUUCCUGGUGUAGCGGUGGAAUGCGCAGAUAUCAGGAGGAACACCAAUGGCGAAGGCAGAUCUCUGGGCCGUAACUGACGCUGAGGAGCGAAGCAUGGGAGCGAACAGG
Molecule: ribosomal RNA, 251 nt
Filed under: uncultured bacterium
Lineage: Bacteria
Description: partial 16S ribosomal RNA
Rfam family: Bacterial small subunit ribosomal RNA
Source: RNAcentral